AUUGAACGCUGGCGGAAUGCUUUACACAUGCAAGUCGAACGGCAGCACGGGUGCUUGCACCUGGUGGCGAGUGGCGAACGGGUGAGUAAUACAUCGGAACGUACCCAGUUGUGGGGGAUAACUAACCGAAAGGUUAGCUAAUACCGCAUACGACCUGAGGGUGAAAGCGGGGGACCGGAAGGACUCGCGCAAUUGGAGCGGCCGAUGUCUGAUUAGCUAGUUGGUAGGGUAAAGGCCUACCAAGGCGACGAUCAGUAGCUGGUCUGAGAGGAUGAUCAGCCACACUGGAACUGAGACACGGUCCAGACUCCUACGGGAGGCAGCAGUGGGGAAUUUUGGACAAUGGGCGAAAGCCUGAUCCAGCCAUUCCGCGUGAGUGAAGAAGGCCUUCGGGUUGUAAAGCUCUUUCGGCAGGGAAGAAACGGCCUAGGUUAAUACCUUGGGCUAAUGACGGUACCUGAAGAAGAAGCACCGGCUAACUACGUGCCAGCAGCCGCCGUAA
This 502-nucleotide ribosomal RNA is filed under the name uncultured bacterium. RNAcentral's name for it is "partial 16S ribosomal RNA". It matches the Rfam family "Bacterial small subunit ribosomal RNA", at positions 30 to 523 of the family's 1533-position model. The record is from RNAcentral.